CCUACGGGCGGCAGCAGUGGGGAAUAUUGCGCAAUGGGCGAAAGCCUGACGCAGCGACGCCGCGUGAGGGAUGAAGGUCUUCGGAUCGUAAACCUCUGUCAGCAGGGAAGAACGGUCACUGUGCUAAUCAGCAGUGAAUUGACGGUACCUGCAAAGGAAGCACCGGCUAACUCCGUGCCAGCCGCCGCGGUAAUACGGAGGGGGCGAGCGUUAAUCGGAAUUACUGGGCGUAAAGCGCUCGUAGGCGGUAUGUCAAGUCAAGGGUGAAAUCCCCGCGCUAAAGGUGGGAACUGCCUUUGAAACUGGCAAACUGGAGUGUGUGAGAGGAUAGUGGAAUUCCAGGUGUAGGAGGGAAAUCCGUAGAUAUCUGGAGGAACAUCAGUGGCGAAGGCGACUAUCUGGCACAUAACUGACGCUGAGGAGCGAAAGCGUGGGUAGCAAACAGGAUUAGAUACCCUAGUAGUC
This 465-nucleotide ribosomal RNA is filed under the name uncultured bacterium. Its description in RNAcentral is "partial 16S ribosomal RNA". It matches the Rfam family "Bacterial small subunit ribosomal RNA", at positions 338 to 795 of the family's 1533-position model. The record is from RNAcentral.